This 497-nucleotide ribosomal RNA is filed under the name uncultured bacterium. Its description in RNAcentral is "partial 16S ribosomal RNA". It matches the Rfam family "Bacterial small subunit ribosomal RNA", at positions 28 to 507 of the family's 1533-position model. The record is from RNAcentral.
GAUGAACGCUGGCGGCGUGCCUAAUACAUGCAAGUCGAGCGAACGGACGAGAAGCUUGCUUCUCUGAUGUUAGCGGCGGACGGGUGAGUAACACGUGGAUAACCUACCUAUAAGACUGGGAUAACUUCGGGAAACCGGAGCUAAUACCGGAUGAUAUUUUGAACCGCAUGGUUCAAAAGUGAAAGACGGUCUUGCUGUCACUGAUAGAUGGAUCCGCGCUGCAUUAGCUAGUUGGUAAGGUAACGGCUUACCAAGGCAACGAUGCAUAUCCGACCUGAGAGGGUGAUCGGCCACACUGGAACUGAGACACGCUCCAGACUCCUACGGGAGGCAGCAGUAGCGAAUCUUCCGCAAUGGGCGAAAGCCUUACGCAGCAACGCCGCGUGAGUUAUGAAGGUCUUCGGAUCGUAAAACUCUGUUAUUAGGGAAGAACAUAUGUGUAAGUAACUGUGCACAUCUUGACGGUACCUAAUCAGAAAGCCCCGGCUAACUACGUG